RNAcentral lists this ribosomal RNA (497 nucleotides) under uncultured bacterium. RNAcentral's name for it is "partial 16S ribosomal RNA". It matches the Rfam family "Bacterial small subunit ribosomal RNA", at positions 28 to 507 of the family's 1533-position model. The record is from RNAcentral.
GAUGAACGCUGGCGGCGUGCCUAAUACAUGCAAGUCGAGCGAACGGACGAGAAGCUUGCUUCUCUGAUGUUAGCGGCGGACGGGUGAGUAACACGUGGAUAACCUACCUAUAAGACUGGGAUAACUUCGGGAAACCGGAGCUAAUACCGGUUAAUAUUUUGAACCGCAUGGUUCAACAGUGAAAGACGUUCUUGCUGUCACUUAUAGAUGGAUCCGCGCUGCAUUAGCUAGUUGGUAAGGUAACGGCUUACCAAGGCAACGAUGCAUAGCCGACCUGAGAGGGUGAUCGGCCACACUGGAACUGAGACACGGUCCAGACUCCUACGGGAGGCAGCAGUAGGGAAUCUUCGGCAAUGGGCGAAAGCCUGACGGAGCAACGCCGCGUGAGUGAUGAAGGUCUUCGGAUCGUAAAACUCUGUUAUUAGGGAAGAACAUAUGUGUAAGUAUCUGUGCACAUCUUGACGGUACCUAAACAGAAAGCCACGGCUAACUACGUG